This 450-nucleotide ribosomal RNA is filed under the name uncultured Alphaproteobacteria bacterium. Its description in RNAcentral is "bacterial SSU rRNA". It matches the Rfam family "Bacterial small subunit ribosomal RNA", at positions 415 to 883 of the family's 1533-position model. Lineage: Bacteria; Pseudomonadati; Pseudomonadota; Alphaproteobacteria. The record is from RNAcentral.
CCCUAGGGUCGUAAAGCUCUUUCGCCUGUGAAGAUAAUGACGGUAGCAGGUAAAGAAACCCCGGCUAACUCCGUGCCAGCAGCCGCGGUAAUACGGAGGGGGUUAGCGUUGUUCGGAAUUACUGGGCGUAAAGCGCACGUAGGCGGACCAGUCAGUCAGAGGUGAAAUCCCGGGGCUCAACCCCGGAACUGCCUUUGAUACUGCUGGUCUUGAGUUCGAGAGAGGUGAGUGGAAUUCCGAGUGUAGAGGUGAAGUUCGUAGAUAUUCGGAGGAACACCAGUGGCGAAGGCGGCUCACUGGCUCGAUACUGACGCUGAGGUGCGAAAGUGUGGGGAGCAAACAGGAUUAGAUACCCUGGUAGUCCACACCGUAAACGAUGAAUGCCAGUCGUCGGGUAGCAUGCUAUUCGGUGACACACCUAACGGAUUAAGCAUUCCGCCUGGGGAGUAC